This 261-nucleotide ribosomal RNA is filed under the name uncultured bacterium. RNAcentral's name for it is "partial 16S ribosomal RNA". It matches the Rfam family "Bacterial small subunit ribosomal RNA", at positions 29 to 269 of the family's 1533-position model. The record is from RNAcentral.
AACGAACGCUGGCGGCGUGGAUAAGACAUGCAAGUCGAACGAUCACUAUUGGGUAGCAAUAUUCGGUAGUGGGAGUGGCGCAAGGGUGCGUAACACGUGGGUAAUUUGCCGUAAAGUCUGGGAUAACUUGCUGAAAGGCGAGCUAAUACCGGAUGUGAUUGCUGGAGGGCAUCCUCUGGCACUUAAAGGUCGGGGACCGUAAGGCCUGACACUUUUCGAUAGGCCCGCGGCCAUCAGCUAGUUGGUGAGGUAACGCUCACC